AUACGUAGGGUGCAAGCGUUGUCCGGAAUUAUUGGGCGUAAAGAGCUCGUAGGCGGCUUGUCGCGUCUGCUGUGAAAACCCGAGGCUCAACCUCGGGCUUGCAGUGGGUACGGGCAGGCUAGAGUGUGGUAGGGGAGAUUGGAAUUCCUGGUGUAGCGGUGGAAUGCGCAGAUAUCAGGAGGAACACCGAUGGCGAAGGCAGAUCUCUGGGCCACUACUGACGCUGAGGCACGAAAGCGUGGGGAGC
This 247-nucleotide ribosomal RNA is filed under the name uncultured bacterium. RNAcentral describes it as "partial 16S ribosomal RNA". It matches the Rfam family "Bacterial small subunit ribosomal RNA", at positions 523 to 769 of the family's 1533-position model. The record is from RNAcentral.